UGACUUACGGAGAUGAGAUUCGUGGUC
RNAcentral lists this small RNA (27 nucleotides) under Bombyx mori (domestic silkworm). RNAcentral describes it as "ovarian small RNA-8187". The record is from RNAcentral. Lineage: Eukaryota; Metazoa; Arthropoda; Insecta; Lepidoptera; Bombycidae.